UACGUAGGGGGCAAGCGUUGUCCGGAAUUAUUGGGCGUAAAGCGCGCGCAGGCGGUCGAUUAAGUCUGGUGUAUAAACCAAGGGCUCAACCUUUGGACGCAUUGGAAACUGGUCGACUGGAGUGUAGGAGAGGAAAGUGGAAUUCCACGUGUAGCGGUGAAAUGCGUAGAGAUGUGGAGGAACACCAGUGGCGAAGGCGGCCACCUGGACAGUAACUGACGCUGAGGCGCGAAAGCGUGGGUAGCAAACAGG
Molecule: ribosomal RNA, 252 nt
Filed under: uncultured bacterium
Lineage: Bacteria
Description: partial 16S ribosomal RNA
Rfam family: Bacterial small subunit ribosomal RNA
Source: RNAcentral